This is an RNA transcript of Cynara cardunculus var. scolymus (artichoke), 2448 nucleotides long. It is a transcript of the gene named pentatricopeptide repeat-containing protein At1g12300, mitochondrial-like, with no coding region annotated. The record is from RefSeq and is a predicted model, not a curated record. NCBI's taxonomy places the organism in Eukaryota, Viridiplantae, Streptophyta, Magnoliopsida, Asterales, Asteraceae. The transcript is spliced from 7 exons.
CCAAUGCUUAGUCCAAAGAGUUGAAAUUAGGUUUAUAUUAAUUCAUCCUAUAGUUCAUGAUGGAUUAGGCAAUUUGAGGGUUUAAUGGAGGUUUUAGUUUUAUGAAUUAGGGUUUAGAGAAAAGAGCAAUGAAAUGAGGAAGCCUGCUUUUGUUCUUCGUCGAAAUGGUAAGUUGCUUCCUGAUUACCUUUCUUUCCCAUUUCUCUUGUUUCAAUAUCAUACUAUUGUUGCUGCUUCUCUAAAUCCUCAAAUUCAUUUUCCCUCUCGAAAAUUAAUUCUUAACAACAGCUGUGUGAGAGAUUCGUUGCUUCCGUUUACUCGGAUGGUUGAGAGUACGUCUAUUGCCCCAAUUCAUCAAUCUAAUCGAAUUUAUGCUAAUGGUAACAUUUCUCAAGCAAUUUUAGGGUUUCAAGCUCAUGUAGUAACUCUCGGGAUGAUAAACAGGCUCUGCAAAUCCGGUGACACCCGAGCUGCUCUUCUUAUGCUCAGAGAGAUGGAAAAAAGUGAGAGCUGUAAGCCAGGCAUAAUCCAUUACAAUAUCAUCAUCAAUGGUCUUUGCAAGGAUCGACGUGUUAAUGAGGCUGUGGAUAUCUAUUGUGAGAUGAUCGUGAAAGGUAUUCUACCAGAUGUUGUAACAUUCACUUGUUUGAUUCAAGGUUUAUGCAGUUUAGGAUUGUGGGAAGAGGCACAGGGUUUGUUGAACGAAAUGCUAGCUCGAGGCAUCUCACCGAAUGUGGUCACAUUUAAUAUUUUAGUUCAUUCACUUUGUAAAGGUGGGAAGGUUGGGGAAGCACAUACUAUGCUUGAUGUUAUGAAUUCACAUCAGUGUGUGCCUGAUGUUAUCAGCUAUAACAUAUUAAUUAAUGGGUACUGCAAGAGCAAAAGAAUAGAUGAAGCCUUGAGUCUGUUUAUAGAGAUGUCUGGAAAGAGAAUAGCUCCUAAUAUAGUAACCUACACCACUCUUAUACACGGUUUGUGUCUAGUUGGUAGACUUGAGGAUGCACUUCUGCGUUUUGAUGAAAUUCAGGAUUGUGGUCUGGUUCCAGAUGUUGUUACUUACUCUACUUUGAUACAUUUUUUAUUUAAAAUUGGCAAAUUUGAUAAGGCAAUCACAUUGUUAAGGACUAUGGAAGAGGUUAGAGUGGCCCCUAAUAUUUAUCUGUACAAUAUCCUCAUUGAUGGUAUGUGCAAAGCUGGGAAAGUUGAUGUUGGCGAGGAACUUUUUCGGAAACUCCCUGCCUCGGGUUUGCAGCCUGGUUUUUAUACAUAUAAUAUCCUGAUUAAUGGGUAUUGCAAGAGCAUGAUGAUAGGUGAAGCCACGAGUCUUAUUAAGGAAAUGUCUGGAAACAGAGUUACACCAACUAUUGUGACCUACAACACUCUCAUCAGCGGGUUGUGUGAUGCUGGCAGACUCAAGGAUGCGCUUCUGCUCCUUGAUGACAUUCGAAAUCGUGAUCUUGUUCCUAACAUUGUUACCUACUCUACUUUGAUAGAUUCGUUAUUUAAAAAUGAAAAAUUUGAUGAUGCCCUUGCACUAUUAAGAACUAUGGAAGGUGUUGGAGUGGCCCCUAAUAUUGUUCUAUGGAACAUCCUCAUUGAUGGCAUGUGCAAAGUUGGGAAAAUUGAUGUUGGUCAAGAACUUUUCAGGGAUCUCCCUUCUAGAGGCUUGCGGCCUAAUAUUCUGACUUAUUUACUGAAAAAUUGGAGCAAUCUUCGGAGGAAUUUUCAGAAAUUUGGGAGAUACUGUUUCAGCAAUCGAGUCACAGCUGUUUUCAAGUCUGGAGACGCUGCUAAAGGAAACCAAGCAGAGCCGUAUUACUUGGUGUUUGACUCGGUUCUCUUACUGCAGUUGAUCAAGAAUAAUGCUUUCGGAGAUUGUCUAGACGGCCACUUUUCAUGAGAAUUCAUCCAAUCAUUGACCAGUCACAAGCUCAUUGUUGGAACUAUUGAGGAUCCUUCCUUUUCCAGGGAGCUUUGGUUUUUUGGUUGGGGUGAUUUCACAGAUUGCUACCAUUUGAACUGAUGCUUGUGAUUAAGAAGUUAAAAGAACAAUCUAUACCAUGGUGGAAAAUGCUCCGAGGAUCAAAAGAGGAUUGGGAGAAGAUAGCAAGUAUAUCAUCGUGGAGGCAACUGUAUUACGUCCUGAGAUCCCCUUUCUAGAGCUGAAAUCGGCUUAAGAAUGUACAAUUUUAACUACAUGUGGUGCAAGGUUAUUAAGAAGAUAUUGGUUGGAGCCUUGGAGGAGGAUCAUAUUUUGGCUAUAUCCAUUUUACAAGUUCAGAUCAAGUUGCAACUUUUAAAGCCACAAAGUAGAAAUUACUAAUAAUUGUGACCACUGAGUUUAUCAGAGUUAAUGUUGUAUAGUCGCAAUCUGCCGGGAAUAGUGUGACAUAGCCUGGAACAUCCUUCCUCAAAAAAAAAAAAAAAAGAGAAGUUAUUAUGGAUGUA